This 564-nucleotide ribosomal RNA is filed under the name Pichia kudriavzevii. RNAcentral describes it as "LSU rRNA". It matches the Rfam family "Eukaryotic large subunit ribosomal RNA", at positions 62 to 648 of the family's 3401-position model. The record is from RNAcentral. Lineage: Eukaryota; Fungi; Ascomycota; Pichiomycetes; Pichiales; Pichiaceae.
AAACCAACAGGGAUUGCCUCAGUAGCGGCGAGUGAAGCGGCAAGAGCUCAGAUUUGAAAUCGUGCUUUGCGGCACGAGUUGUAGAUUGCAGGUUGGAGUCUGUGUGGAAGGCGGUGUCCAAGUCCCUUGGAACAGGGCGCCCAGGAGGGUGAGAGCCCCGUGGGAUGCCGGCGGAAGCAGUGAGGCCCUUCUGACGAGUCGAGUUGUUUGGGAAUGCAGCUCCAAGCGGGUGGUAAAUUCCAUCUAAGGCUAAAUACUGGCGAGAGACCGAUAGCGAACAAGUACUGUGAAGGAAAGAUGAAAAGCACUUUGAAAAGAGAGUGAAACAGCACGUGAAAUUGUUGAAAGGGAAGGGUAUUGCGCCCGACAUGGGGAUUGCGCACCGCUGCCUCUCGUGGGCGGCGCUCUGGGCUUUCCCUGGGCCAGCAUCGGUUCUUGCUGCAGGAGAAGGGGUUCUGGAACGUGGCUCUUCGGAGUGUUAUAGCCAGGGCCAGAUGCUGCGUGCGGGGACCGAGGACUGCGGCCGUGUAGGUCACGGAUGCUGGCAAAACGGCGCAACACCGC